RNAcentral lists this ribosomal RNA (151 nucleotides) under Burkholderia cepacia. Its description in RNAcentral is "partial 16S ribosomal RNA". It matches the Rfam family "Bacterial small subunit ribosomal RNA", at positions 335 to 479 of the family's 1533-position model. The record is from RNAcentral. Lineage: Bacteria; Pseudomonadati; Pseudomonadota; Betaproteobacteria; Burkholderiales; Burkholderiaceae.
ACUCCUACGGGAGGCAGCAGUGGGGAAUUUUGGACAAUGGGCGAAAGCCUGAUCCAGCAAUGCCGCGUGUGUGAAGAAGGCCUUCGGGUUGUAAAGCACUUUUGUCCGGAAAGAAAUCCUUGGCUCUAAUACAGCCGGGGGAUGACGUACC